GAGAAAAGGAGGCCCGGGGCAGCCCAGCCCAGUGUGGGUACUAGGGUCUAUGUCACCAUGGCUUGGACUCUUCUAGUCCUCAUGCUUGUGUCUCAAUGGACAGGUUCCCUGUCCCAGCCUGUGCUGACCCAGCCGUCCUCCCUGUCUGCAUCUCCAGGAACAACAGCCAGACUCACCUGCACCCUGAGCAGUGGCUACAACGUUGGCGGCUACCACAUAUACUGGUACCAGCAGAAACAAGGGACCUCUCCCCGGUGUCUACUGAGGUUCUACUCAGACUCAAAUAAGCACCAGGGCCCUGGGGUCCCCAGCCGCUUCUCCGGGUCCAAAGAUGCCUCGGCCAAUGCAGGGCUUCUGCUCAUCUCUGGGCCACAGCCUGAGGACGAGGCUGACUAUUACUGUGCUACAGGUUAUGGCAGUGGGAGCAGCUUUGGUUACUCACAGUGUCUCAGAUAACGAGGAAGUGAGACC
Non-coding RNA from Prionailurus viverrinus (fishing cat), 471 nucleotides. The record is from the annotation of a RefSeq genome assembly. NCBI's taxonomy places the organism in Eukaryota, Metazoa, Chordata, Mammalia, Carnivora, Felidae.